This is a non-coding RNA of Paramormyrops kingsleyae, 988 nucleotides long. Lineage: Eukaryota; Metazoa; Chordata; Actinopteri; Osteoglossiformes; Mormyridae. The record is from RefSeq and is a predicted model, not a curated record.
UUGUAGCUUUUAUGGACGCUACGUCGCUACUUGAGCAAAAAAAUAACGUAACUACUGGAAAGUUAUUUGAUUCAGAAAUCAGCGACGCUACAGGCAAGCUACUAGAAAAUGUAUUUAAACUAAUAGCUUCGCUACAUGUAGCGGCGCUACCGCCCAUCACUGACACUAGGGUUCGGGCCAUUCCAGAAUGCAUUGAUCAAUUCCAGUCCAAAGCGGGAUGGAUUUUUAAUUUUUAAUUUCUUUAAAUUAUAGAUUAGUUUUUGUUUAGAAGCCAGACAAGCUGGACAGCUCCUUUACCUUGUUAGCACUGUCAGCUCUAUAGGCAGCUGUUGAUAGAUUGGUAGCUGUGUUGCAUAGAUAGACAAUAGAAACAGGGCCAGCAGCUGUUACCUUGUGCAGGAGAACAGCAAGCCUUCCUUACUCUUUCUGCAGUUUGUAGUUGAAAAUAUUCCGAAAUCUUAGAUAACAUUCCUGCUGAAUUUCAUGUUGAAACUUUUAAAGUUGUGCUGACUUAAAGCAACACACCCAAGUUAAUAAAACAACAGAAAGAAACAAAACACAUAGGAGCUGCUAUUGCUGGCUGAUGAUGAGUUUUGCUCAUUAACAAUUACUCACUUCUGAAGGAUCAAAGAUGAGAGAUGUGGAGUGUGAGGACUGUCCAUACGGCUAUUACUCAACACAGAGUGUAAAUUGCACACUAUGGAAAAGCUGUACUGCUGAUGAGGAGAAGAUUGAAGAUGGAAGCAAAUGGAAAGAUGUUGUUUGCCAGAAAUUAACCAUGUUAAAAAAGUUCUUUGCUUUAGUUUUGGUUAGUUUAUCAACCCGUUUAUCAUAUUAACGUUCCAUCCUUACCAUAAGCAUUUCAUUUAUAUUAGGCAAUUAAACGUUAAUAGAUUAUACUAUAUACCAUGCACCUCCUAUGGAAUAUUAUUUAGCACUAUACAACGUAGAAUAUACUCAUGAUAUUAUUAAAAAGCAUGCCAAAAUA